This 18-nucleotide non-coding RNA is filed under the name Arabidopsis thaliana (thale cress). The record is from RNAcentral. Lineage: Eukaryota; Viridiplantae; Streptophyta; Magnoliopsida; Brassicales; Brassicaceae. RNAcentral also lists the same sequence under 1 other name.
GUUGGAUUGUUCACCCAC